This 561-nucleotide long non-coding RNA is filed under the name Brassica napus (rape). Its description in RNAcentral is "long non-coding RNA (BNAP_LNC011898)". The record is from RNAcentral. Lineage: Eukaryota; Viridiplantae; Streptophyta; Magnoliopsida; Brassicales; Brassicaceae.
GGGGAGAGUACCCGCAUCAGAUAGCUCAGACAAAUGAAGACAGUGAUGAGGAUAAUGGCUGAUGUGAGGGAUUUUAGAGUUGGUUUUGUGUAGGAUUAUUGCUUUGUGCGUCUUUUAGUUUGCGUCUUGUUAUUUGCUUCGUGUAAUCUGAUCUUCGGUUGUUUUGAGUCUUUUAGUGUCUUUCAUUUGAAUCUUCCUUUAUGUUUAGAAUGUUGCUUAUGCUGGUUUUGUACUCUAUGACUUAAUUAAGGAUCUGUUUUCAGUGUUCAUGACAGAGUUCUUGAUAGAUGUUUUGUUCUUUGUUCGGUGUUAUGGUUCUGUUGACUCUGCAGGAUGCUUAGAUUGUCACAUUCAGAUAAAAAGGGGAGAAUGUACGCUCAAGAUAAGAGCUUGGCUGUUUGUGGAACAAGAGAAGGAGUCAUACAUGCUGAUCGAUGUGUGACAUACCGAUUCGAGUUAGUUAUGGAACGAUGACGUGUUAGGUAAUCAUUGGGUCCAAGAUAGUGUGUUGGCGUGAAGCAAAGAAGAUUUGGGUUUAGCACAAUAUUAUGAAAUAUAAUA